RNAcentral lists this long non-coding RNA (1419 nucleotides) under Homo sapiens (human). Its description in RNAcentral is "HSALNT0017991". Lineage: Eukaryota; Metazoa; Chordata; Mammalia; Primates; Hominidae. The record is from RNAcentral.
CUUAGGUAUCCCCUCUGAGAAUUUAUCAGAAAAACAAGCAAUAAGUGAGACCAACGUUGUGAGGUAUUAACUCGGAACCGUCAUCUAUCCUUGUGGAGAAAAACCCGGAGGACUUGGAUUAGGACCCAAUAGUCUACCUUGGCGGCAGGUGAGAAUCACCUGGGGAGCUUUUGAAACAUGAGGCUGCCAGGCUGGACCUCACUCCAGACCAAUUGAACCAGAAUCUCUGAGGCGGGGCCUGGGUGUUGGUAAUUUUCCUUUGAAACACUCCCCAGGUGAUUCUAAUGGAAUCUAGGAGUGAGAAUCACUGGGGGAAGGCAUUUGUAGAUGGGAAGGCUGGUGGCAUCUGCUAGAAGACUUGAUGUGUACUUGGCCAGAGAUAAACCACAGGUCUGGCCUGAAUGGGUGUGGAAAUGUGUCAGUCAUGUUUUCAGAUUUCCAAGGUCAUUUUCCAAGAGACCUCUGUGAGCUUGGACUGGAUAGCGCAGCACAGGGCCAGCGAUGGCAGCUGGAAGGGUGGCUGCCUAGGAAGGAGGCCUGGAUCUUGAGGAGGAAGGCACUUCUGAAAUAGCUGCAACUCCCGGCACAUUGUAGGGUUGAACUUCCCUGUUUGCAUUACAUAGGACUGGUCAUCUGACUGGCUGUGGCCAGUGAAAAUGUAGAUGAAAAUAGCCUGUAUCACCUCUGGACGAGUCAUUAGGAGUCAGUGUAUGAUUUGAUACAUUUCCUUCUCUCUGCCAUGGUGAUUGGUGAUGGAGGCUCUAUUAGUUUUUGUUCCUGAGUAAAGUAAUGUGGGUAUGAGUCCCUAGCUGACUUCCAAUACGAGUGAGAAAUAAACCUUAAUUGUUUUAAGCCUCCAAGCUUUGGAGUUUGUUGUACAGCCCACCAUGACAAAUAUACUUUUAGUCCUUUAUUUACAUGCUUUAAAAUACUGCUUGCAUUUUCUGAUUACCAUAUGUUCAUUGUGGAGAAUUUCAAAAAAUAUAAAAAAAAACCUUUGAAAUCACUUACAUAGAAAUAGUCUCUGUUAAUAUUUUGAUGUAUUGUCUUCCUCUCCCAAUUUAAAAAAUCAGGAUCCUAAUAUAUACGAUAUUGAUUUUUUCACUUCAUAUAUACUCUUAAAAUACAUGAAUUUGCUGCAUAUUAUUAAUUGAUGAGGAAGUGUUAUAAUCUAUUUUUAUAUUUAUGUUUUAUAUUUAUACUAUACAAUUCAUAAGAGUCACAUUUUAUUUUUGUACUUUUUCUUGUUGUAAAUAACAUUCCAAUGAAACUUUUGUGAUUAAGUCUUUGCUCAAAUUGCUGCUGCUGUCCUUGGAGUAGAUCCCUAGAAGGUGAACGACUAGGUCAAGGAGUAUGCAUACUUUUAAGAUUUUUGCUACCUAUUGCCAGGAGAAAGGUUAUACCAAUUAACACGUCAGC